This is a long non-coding RNA of Lutra lutra (Eurasian river otter), 308 nucleotides long. RefSeq lists it as uncharacterized. The record is from RefSeq and is a predicted model, not a curated record. NCBI's taxonomy places the organism in Eukaryota, Metazoa, Chordata, Mammalia, Carnivora, Mustelidae. The transcript has 3 exons.
AAAAGCUGCCUUUUCAGCUUAGGUUCCUCUAAGCAAUCCCUACCUGCUCUACCACCUUUUUGUUGCUUCCAACCCCAAGAUAGGGCAAUCUAUGGGUCUACCCUGAAACAUUCUACCUGGGCAUCAAUCAUUCCUUCCUAUGCCUGGAGGAUAGAAGACUGAAAUGAAGGUGUCACAGGCCCAUGCUCCCACAAAAGGCUCUGGAGAAGAAUCUUCCCUUGUUACUUCUACCUUCUGGCAAUCCUUCUGUUUUUUGAUGCAGUGAAAAGAAGGGCCAUAUGUACCACAAUGUUCAGAGCAGCAAUGUC